AGUUUUGGAUACGCUAAUGCUCCUUCUGGAAACUCUCUGAUGAGUCAAGACAACACUUGGUAUACAGACAUGGUAAAGUCCUUACUAGUUUUGCUUUGCAUUUAUAAUGCAUGGGCUCUUUUCUUCAAAUAGUAUCAACUAGAAGUUGCCACGGCAAGUUUUGCAUACGAUCACGAUCCUCCUGUAAACUCUAUCAUGAAUAUGUCUACCACUUGCGCCGUUAAUUGCAAUAUUAUACAUCCAUGGUAUACUUCCUACUAGUUUCCAAUGCAGGCGAUAUUAGAGUAAGUAUAAUAGAGUGACAUAGACGGGCUAUAAGAGAUGCCACAUUAGAUUUUUGCUUAGUUGGAGGAGAGAGAAGAGAACCAAACUAUAGGAUUAUAGCCAGUUGUAGCAUCGACUCCAACAUCCUUUGUGAGAGAAUAUGAUGGGCCACACAUUAAUUACAUAGCAUGCAAGUAUGGCUGAACUGUUAGGCUAGACAUGGUGGAAGUAACAUAGGUACUCCCUCCGUUUCAAUUUACAAGUCCUAUGCGUAUACCUAGGUUGCCAAUUUUAUCACCCUAAUAUAAACUAUAUAACACAAAAAUUAUACGGUUUGAAAAUGUGGAACAUCUAAAGUUUAUAUUGGUAUAUUUUUUAUAAGAUAUGACUUGUAUUAGGUUGGUCAAAUUGACGACCUAAGGAUAUGCGCACGCCCUAUAAACUGAGAGAGAGGGAGUAGUAACAUGCAUCCUCAAAACAUAUUAUUCGUGCAAUGCGAAGUAGUCAUAGUGAUGACAUGGCAUAGUAUUAAAUGUGAAAAGAGAUGAUGGUGGUAGUAACAUAUUAUGUUACCAUCACAUAGGGCAUCCCAAGAAAAAUUGAGUCCACAAGCUAAUAAAUGCAACCUUUUAUGAUACUAUAUGUAUGAUACUUUGCACUAUAAAUGUAGUAAUAUAGACUAGUGUCAUAUGCAUGACACUAAUGUAAGUUACUCCUUGCUAUGACUAGCCUUAUAUGAAUGUGUUGUUAGGUUGGCCAUACAUGCCACGACAACUUCAUAUAGCUGGUUGUUGGUUAUACUAUUAAUCAUGCUAUUAAUUUGGUCUUUUUAAUAUUUACUAGAUGUGGAAAUGACUUCUCCAAUGUGCUUAAGCUCUUCCAGAAUUCCUGCUCCUAUGUUGAGACCAAAUUUAAAAAGCCCACUUUUUAAUUUGACUUGAUCAAGUGGACCAAUUAAAGAAUAAUAUAGCUAAUUUUUGUAUUUGACAUUUCUUCGAUAUGUUGGUUUUUUACUAAGAUCAUAAUAUCGGUAGGUUUGUAGUGGUGUUAUUAUUGAAAUUGAAGGAACUUACUCAUCAUUACUUCAUGUUUCCAGCUUCCCCAACCGGAUCCUCCUGCUCAUCAGAUGUCAAUGCAGAAUGACUUGUCCAUUACUUCGUUUGGGAAUAGCAUGAAUUCUUUUACACCCAACCAGAAUGCCACGGUACGCUAACUAGCUUGAACUCGGCUUGGGCCAACCAAAUCUGGAUCAUGCAUCCAUAAAACGAGUUGGCAUUACUAUAUGUACAAUGGUGCGCUUAAUUAGCACUGCUACUCUACAUAGAAUGGCUGCAUAGUUGGAAGAGAGAGAAACUGGAAAAGAUGUUUGCCUUGUCUAAGUAAAAGAAGAUAUCUUAGCAAGCAAAGAUAUGCCUUUUUCUCCCUCCAUUGUACGAGAUAUCUCCCCUCUCAGUCUGUGUUAUAGUUUAAUUUCACUCUAUAAUUCUAAGCCCACACAUAUUAAUUCUUAGGGAUGAUAUUAAGAAAUAAUCUAUUGUACAACAUGUAUAUUGUCACUUUAAAUGACAUGAAUACAUAAGAAAAGAAUCAGCCAUUAUACAUGCUUUUAUGUUGUUGUUGCUGUAUACAACAGCUAGAAGAGUUAAUAAGCUUGCUAACACUGUUCAGUAACUUUUAGCAAGUUUGGUCUGCUAGCUACUUGUCGAUAACCUGCAUGCUUAAAGCUGUAUUCUGUUUAAGAUAUAUUAAUAAUAAAAGCUUGACUUUUUUGCAGAUUGGUGGCUAUGAGCCACGACAACCCGAUACUACUUCUGCUUGGGUUGACCAUUUGAUGGGAAUUACACAUGAUUAUGCUCCAGAUAAACCUUUUCCAUAUCCUAUGCCUUGGGAACACAAUUCAUCUUUUGAGGUAAUAUCCAUAGCGUGCUUUGUUGGCCACAUCAAUCUAUUCUUCUGUCUAACCGCAGUUGCUAAUUGUUUGUCCAUGACAUAAAUGAAUACUACCCGACCAGAUGAAAAUUGACAAGUCUCUAUGAUUUCGCCUUCACUCCAGUUUCAAAUUUUUUUCCUUUCCAUUGUGGUUCCUAGCAUAGUUGUUAUGUCGUUUUCGUGUAUGGAGCUAAAAUUCAAGUUAUUUGUAGCAGAAAGAAAGUAUUUGCAGUAGUGAAAAAUAUUUAUCUUUUAUAUUUGCAGGUAACAAUAUUUCUGGUUCCAGUUAUAAUUUUAAAUCGUCUGUAGCAAUGAUAUGGUAGCAUUUCCGUGACCCCACAAGAGAGAACGACUACACCUGAUCUUACCUUAAACUCAGCUUGCACCAAUCAACUUACAGAUUGCAUAAGAAAUUCACAUGAUGGUGUGUGUCGUACAAAACAAUUAUAAGAGCUAAGCUAGCUUACGUUCUUCAAAUCACUUUUACCAGUUGGGUUUCUUGAUUGAUGAUAACUGCUUACAGCUGCUUUCCAUUUAACAUAAGUAAUAACAGUUUAAAUUUCAACAGACUAAUCACAGUGAGACAUGGCUGGAAACUUCUCCUCCGGGUGAGCAUUAUUG
Molecule: long non-coding RNA, 2814 nt
Filed under: Triticum aestivum (bread wheat)
Lineage: Eukaryota; Viridiplantae; Streptophyta; Magnoliopsida; Poales; Poaceae
Description: long non-coding RNA (TAES_LNC021957)
Source: RNAcentral